AUGGCAGAAUUUGUCGUGCUUCUGGGUGGAUGCGAACGCAUGUCUCGUAGGCCAUACGACGUUUAUCUUUACACCGAAAACUUCAUGUUCGGCCGGCAUGCUGAGAAGCAGAAGCUCUUGAUCUUCUUGCUGCAGCACAAUGACCCUCAUGGUGAUCAUGCACCUGCCAUUCUUCCAGUCAUAGGUGGUGCCUCGGUAGGAAAGAAAACUUUGGUUGCUCAUGUGUGUGGCGACGAAAGGGUUCACUCACGCUUCUCCUCCAUUUUGCACUUGAAUGGAGACAGCUUUAUGAGGAUACUUGACAACGGAAGGAGCAUGUUUGGGAUGGUGUUGGUGGUUAUUACGUUUGCUUCUGAUAUAGAAGACGAUGAUUGGAAAAAGUUUCACUCCUUUGUCAUAACAAUGGGCAGAGGAAGCAAGAUCAUCAUCAUUAGUAGACUUCAAAGGCUAGCUCGAUUCGGAUCGGUGAAACCGAUUUUCCUAACUGUUCUGUCUUAUGACGAGUUGAGGUACCUUCUCAAGACACUGGUAUUUGGAAGUGUAGACCCCAUGUAA
RNAcentral lists this ribosomal RNA (555 nucleotides) under Triticum aestivum (bread wheat). RNAcentral describes it as "partial small subunit ribosomal RNA". Lineage: Eukaryota; Viridiplantae; Streptophyta; Magnoliopsida; Poales; Poaceae. The record is from RNAcentral.